AUUGAACGCUGGCGGCAGGCCUAACACAUGCAAGUCGGACGGUAGCACAGAGAGCUUGCUCUCGGGUGACGAGUGGCGGACGGGUGAGUAAUGUCUGGGGAUCUGCCCGAUAGAGGGGGAUAACCACUGGAAACGGUGGCUAAUACCGCAUAACGUCGCAAGACCAAAGAGGGGGACCUUCGGGCCUCUCACUAUCGGAUGAACCCGGAUGGGAUUAGCUAGUGGGCGGGGUAACGGCCCACCUAGGCGACGAUCCCUAGCUGGGCUGAGAGGAGGACCGGCCAAACUGGAACUGAGACACGGGCCAGACUCAUACGGGAGGCAGCAGUGGGGAAUAUUGCACAAUGGGAGCAAGCCUGAUGCAGCCAUGCCGCGUGUAUGAAGAAGGCCUUCGGGUUGUAGAGUACUUUCAGCGGGGAGGAAGGCGAUGUGGUUAAUAACCGCGUCGAUUGACGUUACCCGCAGAAGAAGCACCGGCUAACUCCGUGCCAGCCGCCGCGGUAA
This 504-nucleotide ribosomal RNA is filed under the name uncultured bacterium. RNAcentral's name for it is "partial 16S ribosomal RNA". It matches the Rfam family "Bacterial small subunit ribosomal RNA", at positions 29 to 523 of the family's 1533-position model. The record is from RNAcentral.